This 253-nucleotide ribosomal RNA is filed under the name uncultured bacterium. Its description in RNAcentral is "partial 16S ribosomal RNA". It matches the Rfam family "Bacterial small subunit ribosomal RNA", at positions 524 to 776 of the family's 1533-position model. The record is from RNAcentral.
UACGGAGGGGGCUAGCGUUGUUCGGAAUUACUGGGCGUAAAGCGCACGUAGGCGGCUUUGUAAGUUAGAGGUGAAAGCCCAGGGCUUAACCCUGGAAUUGCCUUUAAGACUGCAUCGCUAGAAUCGUGGAGAGGUAAGUGGAAUUCCGAGUGUAGAGGUGAAAUUCGUAGAUAUUCGGAAGAACACCAGUGGCGAAGGCGGCUCACUGGCCCGUUACCGACGCUCAGGCGCGAAAGCGUGGGGAGCAAACAGG